Molecule: ribosomal RNA, 429 nt
Filed under: Gemmatimonadota bacterium
Lineage: Bacteria; Pseudomonadati; Gemmatimonadota
Description: Gemmatimonadetes bacterium partial 16S ribosomal RNA
Rfam family: Bacterial small subunit ribosomal RNA
Source: RNAcentral
UAGGGAAUCUUCGGCAAUGGACGAAAGUCUGACCGAGCAACGCCGCGUGAGUGAAGAAGGUUUUCGGAUCGUAAAACUCUGUUGUUAGAGAAGAACAAGGACGUUAGUAACUGAACGUCCCCUGACGGUAUCUAACCAGAAAGCCACGGCUAACUACGUGCCAGCAGCCGCGGUAAUACGUAGGUGGCAAGCGUUGUCCGGAUUUAUUGGGCGUAAAGCGAGCGCAGGCGGUUUCUUAAGUCUGAUGUGAAAGCCCCCGGCUCAACCGGGGAGGGUCAUUGGAAACUGGGAGACUGGAGUGCAGAAGAGGAGAGUGGAAUUCCAUGUGUAGCGGUGAAAUGCGUAGAUAUAUGUAGGAACACCAGUGGCGAAGGCGGCUCUCUGGUCUGUAACUGACGCUGAGGCUCGAAAGCGUGGGGAGCAAACAGG